GGUUAAGCGACUAAGCGUACACGGUGGAUGCCCUGGCAGUCAGAGGCGAUGAAGGACGUGCUAAUCUGCGAUAAGCGUCGGUAAGGUGAUAUGAACCGUUAUAACCGGCGAUUUCCGAAUGGGGAAACCCAGUGUGUUUCGACACACUAUCAUUAACUGAAUCCAUAGGUUAAUGAGGCGAACCGGGGGAACUGAAACAUCUAAGUACCCCGAGGAAAAGAAAUCAACCGAGAUUCCCCCAGUAGCGGCGAGCGAACGGGGAGCAGCCCAGAGCCUGAAUCAGUGUGUGUGUUAGUGGAAGCGUCUGGAAAGGCGCGCGAUACAGGGUGACAGCCCCGUACACAAAAAUGCACAUGCUGUGAGCUCGAUGAGUAGGGCGGGACACGUGGUAUCCUGUCUGAAUAUGGGGGGACCAUCCUCCAAGGCUAAAUACUCCUGACUGACCGAUAGUGAACCAGUACCGUGAGGGAAAGGCGAAAAGAACCCCGGCGAGGGGAGUGAAAAAGAACCUGAAACCGUGUACGUACAAGCAGUGGGAGCACGCUUAGGCGUGUGACUGCGUACCUUUUGUAUAAUGGGUCAGCGACUUAUAUUCUGUAGCAAGGUUAACCGAAUAGGGGAGCCGAAGGGAAACCGAGUCUUAACUGGGCGUUAAGUUGCAGGGUAUAGACCCGAAACCCGGUGAUCUAGCCAUGGGCAGGUUGAAGGUUGGGUAACACUAACUGGAGGACCGAACCGACUAAUGUUGAAAAAUUAGCGGAUGACUUGUGGCUGGGGGUGAAAGGCCAAUCAAACCGGGAGAUAGCUGGUUCUCCCCGAAAGCUAUUUAGGUAGCGCCUCGUGAAUUCAUCUCCGGGGGUAGAGCACUGUUUCGGCAAGGGGGUCAUCCCGACUUACCAACCCGAUGCAAACUGCGAAUACCGGAGAAUGUUAUCACGGGAGACACACGGCGGGUGCUAACGUCCGUCGUGAAGAGGGAAACAACCCAGACCGCCAGCUAAGGUCCCAAAGUCAUGGUUAAGUGGGAAACGAUGUGGGAAGGCCCAGACAGCCAGGAUGUUGGCUUAGAAGCAGCCAUCAUUUAAAGAAAGCGUAAUAGCUCACUGGUCGAGUCGGCCUGCGCGGAAGAUGUAACGGGGCUAAACCAUGCACCGAAGCUGCGGCAGCGACGCUUAUGCGUUGUUGGGUAGGGGAGCGUUCUGUAAGCCUGUGAAGGUGUGCUGUGAGGCAUGCUGGAGGUAUCAGAAGUGCGAAUGCUGACAUAAGUAACGAUAAAGCGGGUGAAAAGCCCGCUCGCCGGAAGACCAAGGGUUCCUGUCCAACGUUAAUCGGGGCAGGGUGAGUCGACCCCUAAGGCGAGGCCGAAAGGCGUAGUCGAUGGGAAACAGGUUAAUAUUCCUGUACUUGGUGUUACUGCGAAGGGGGGACGGAGAAGGCUAUGUUGGCCGGGCGACGGUUGUCCCGGUUUAAGCGUGUAGGCUGGUUUUCCAGGCAAAUCCGGAAAAUCAAGGCUGAGGCGUGAUGACGAGGCACUACGGUGCUGAAGCAACAAAUGCCCUGCUUCCAGGAAAAGCCUCUAAGCAUCAGGUAACAUCAAAUCGUACCCCAAACCGACACAGGUGGUCAGGUAGAGAAUACCAAGGCGCUUGAGAGAACUCGGGUGAAGGAACUAGGCAAAAUGGUGCCGUAACUUCGGGAGAAGGCACGCUGAUAUGUAGGUGAAGUCCCUCGCGGAUGGAGCUGAAAUCAGUCGAAGAUACCAGCUGGCUGCAACUGUUUAUUAAAAACACAGCACUGUGCAAACACGAAAGUGGACGUAUACGGUGUGACGCCUGCCCGGUGCCGGAAGGUUAAUUGAUGGGGUUAGCCGCAAGGCGAAGCUCUUGAUCGAAGCCCCGGUAAACGGCGGCCGUAACUAUAACGGUCCUAAGGUAGCGAAAUUCCUUGUCGGGUAAGUUCCGACCUGCACGAAUGGCGUAAUGAUGGCCAGGCUGUCUCCACCCGAGACUCAGUGAAAUUGAACUCGCUGUGAAGAUGCAGUGUACCCGCGGCAAGACGGAAAGACCCCGUGAACCUUUACUAUAGCUUGACACUGAACAUUGAGCCUUGAUGUGUAGGAUAGGUGGGAGGCUUAGAAGUGUGGACGCCAGUCUGCAUGGAGCCGACCUUGAAAUACCACCCUUUAAUGUUUGAUGUUCUAACGUUGACCCGUAAUCCGGGUUGCGGACAGUGUCUGGUGGGUAGUUUGACUGGGGCGGUCUCCUCCUAAAGAGUAACGGAGGAGCACGAAGGUUGGCUAAUCCUGGUCGGACAUCAGGAGGUUAGUGCAAUGGCAUAAGCCAGCUUGACUGCGAGCGUGACGGCGCGAGCAGGUGCGAAAGCAGGUCAUAGUGAUCCGGUGGUUCUGAAUGGAAGGGCCAUCGCUCAACGGAUAAAAGGUACUCCGGGGAUAACAGGCUGAUACCGCCCAAGAGUUCAUAUCGACGGCGGUGUUUGGCACCUCGAUGUCGGCUCAUCACAUCCUGGGGCUGAAGUAGGUCCCAAGGGUAUGGCUGUUCGCCAUUUAAAGUGGUACGCGAGCUGGGUUUAGAACGUCGUGAGACAGUUCGGUCCCUAUCUGCCGUGGGCGCUGGAGAACUGAGGGGGGCUGCUCCUAGUACGAGAGGACCGGAGUGGACGCAUCACUGGUGUUCGGGUUGUCAUGCCAAUGGCACUGCCCGGUAGCUAAAUGCGGAAGAGAUAAGUGCUGAAAGCAUCUAAGCACGAAACUUGCCCCGAGAUGAGUUCUCCCUGACUCCUUGAGAGUCCUGAAGGAACGUUGAAGACGACGACGUUGAUAGGCCGGGUGUGUAAGCGCAGCGAUGCGUUGAGCUAACCGGUACUAAUGAACCGUGAGGCUUAACCUU
This 2906-nucleotide ribosomal RNA is filed under the name Escherichia coli. Its description in RNAcentral is "23S ribosomal RNA". It matches the Rfam family "Bacterial large subunit ribosomal RNA". RNAcentral also lists the same sequence under 3 other names. Lineage: Bacteria; Pseudomonadati; Pseudomonadota; Gammaproteobacteria; Enterobacterales; Enterobacteriaceae. The record is from RNAcentral.